CUGCAUCCACUGACAGACCUUGAACACUUUGCCAUUGUUCCCUUGGUUUGCACUAGGAUGCAAAAGAAAAAUCCCUGCGCUUUCUGUCUGUCUUUGUGGCAGUCCAGAUUGAAUUGGGGAAUACAUUU
Molecule: small nucleolar RNA, 128 nt
Organism: Ochotona curzoniae (black-lipped pika)
Lineage: Eukaryota; Metazoa; Chordata; Mammalia; Lagomorpha; Ochotonidae
Product: small nucleolar RNA SNORA31
Exons: 1
Source: RefSeq, a predicted model, not a curated record